RNAcentral lists this unclassified non-coding RNA (374 nucleotides) under uncultured Russula. RNAcentral describes it as "sequence contains ITS2". Lineage: Eukaryota; Fungi; Basidiomycota; Agaricomycetes; Russulales; Russulaceae. The record is from RNAcentral.
AACGCACCUUGCGCCCCUUGGCAUUCCGAGGGGCACACCCGUUUGAGUGUCGUGAAAUCAUCAAAACCCUUUUCUUUGAUCCUCUCUUGGUCGAGAAAAGGGAUUUUUGGACUUGGAGGUUUCAUGCUAGCUUUCAAGCUUUUGAAAGCGAGCUCCUCUCAAAUGAAUUAGUGGGGUCCGCUUUGCCGAUCCUUGACGUGAUAAAGAUGUUUCUACGUUUUGGAUUCGGCACUGUCUCUUUGGACGUCUGCUUCUAACCGUCCCCCUGGACGAUGAUGGUGCUCCGGUCACCGCCCAUCUUAUAUUGGCGAGAGGCUGGACCCACAAGAAAAAACCUUGACCUCAAAUCGGGUGAGACUACCCGCUGAACUUAA